RNAcentral lists this transfer RNA (80 nucleotides) under Hippeastrum papilio. Its description in RNAcentral is "tRNA-Leu". RNAcentral also lists the same sequence under 13 other names. Lineage: Eukaryota; Viridiplantae; Streptophyta; Magnoliopsida; Asparagales; Amaryllidaceae. The record is from RNAcentral.
CACGCUGCUCUUAGGAAGCAGUGCUAGAGCAUCUCGGUUCGAGUCCGAGUGGCGGCAUACUCUAAAAGAGAUAGAAUGAA